GCUUGUCUCAAAGAUUAAGCCAUGCAUGUCUAAGUAUAAACACCUUUAUACUGUGAAACUGCGUACAGCUCAUUAAAUCAGUAAUAAUUUAUUUGAUGGUGACUUACUACAUGGAUAACCGUAGUAACCUAGAGCUAAUACAUGCACAAAUUCCCGUCAGGGAUGUAUUUAUUAGAUUGAAACCAAUGCGGGGUAACCCGGUGUUUGGUGAUUCAUAAUAACUUUCGGAUCGCAUUUGCGAUGCAUCAUUCAAGUUUCUGCCCUAUCAGCUUUGGAUGGUAGGGUAUUGGCCUACCAUGGCAUUAACGGGUAACGGAGGAUUUGGGUUCGAUUCCGGAGAGGGAGCCUGAGAAAUGGCUACCACAUCCAAGGAAGGCAGCAGG
Molecule: ribosomal RNA, 383 nt
Filed under: uncultured Chrysophyceae
Lineage: Eukaryota; Chrysophyceae
Description: partial small subunit ribosomal RNA
Rfam family: Eukaryotic small subunit ribosomal RNA
Source: RNAcentral